RNAcentral lists this ribosomal RNA (495 nucleotides) under uncultured bacterium. Its description in RNAcentral is "partial 16S ribosomal RNA". It matches the Rfam family "Bacterial small subunit ribosomal RNA", at positions 28 to 507 of the family's 1533-position model. The record is from RNAcentral.
GACGAACGCUGGCGGCGUGCCUAAUACAUGCAAGUAGAACGCUGAAGGAGGAGCUUGCUUCUCUGGAUGAGUUGCGAACGGGUGAGUAACGCGUAGGUAACCUGCCUGGUAGCGGGGGAUAACUAUUGGAAACGAUAGCUAAUACCGCAUAAGAGUAGAUGUUGCAUGACAUUUACUUAAAAGGUGCAAUUGCAUCACUACCAGAUGGACCUGCGUUGUAUUAGCUAGUUGGUGAGGUAACGGCUCACCAAGGCAACGAUACAUAGCCGACCUGAGAGGGUGAUCGGCCACACUGGGACUGAGACACGGCCCAGACUCCUACGGGAGGCAGCAGUAGGGAAUCUUCGGCAAUGGACGGAAGUCUGACCGAGCAACGCCGCGGGAGUGAAGAAGGUUUUCGGAUCGUAAAGCUCUGUUGUAAGAGAAGAACGAGUGUGAGAGUGGAAAGUUCACACUGUGACGGUAUCUUACCAGAAAGGGACGGCUAACUACGUG